CAGUCGCCACGGUAAUACGUAGGGUGCAAGCGUUAAUCGGAAUUACUGGGCGUAAAGCGUGCGCAGGCGGUUAUAUAAGACAGAUGUGAAAUCCCCGGGCUCAACCUGGGAACUGCAUUUGUGACUGUAUAGCUAGAGUACGGCAGAGGGGGAUGGAAUUCCGCGUGUAGCAGUGAAAUGCGUAGAUAUGCGGAGGAACACCGAUGGCGAAGGCAAUCCCCUGGGCCUGUACUGACGCUCAUGCACGAAAGCGUGGGGAGCAAACAGGAUUAGUACCCGCGUAGUCCCUGUCUCUUAUACA
RNAcentral lists this ribosomal RNA (301 nucleotides) under uncultured bacterium. Its description in RNAcentral is "partial 16S ribosomal RNA". It matches the Rfam family "Bacterial small subunit ribosomal RNA", at positions 509 to 808 of the family's 1533-position model. The record is from RNAcentral.